AAGUCGUAACAAGGUUUCCGUAGGUGAAUCCUGGAAGGUCCAUUUAACAAUUUAGGCUUCAGCGGCCAAUUUAUCAUACCCUUUGGUAUACCCGUGAAAACCCAAUUGGUUGGCAUUUGGCAGGCCCCAUGGCAUUUCUCGGGACCUAGCCAGAGGGUUAUGAAAGCCGUAGAAUCUCUGGCGUGUCUGAGUUACUAUACAAUAGUUAAAAG
This 212-nucleotide unclassified non-coding RNA is filed under the name plant metagenome. Its description in RNAcentral is "partial contains small subunit ribosomal RNA and internal transcribed spacer 1". The record is from RNAcentral.